This 270-nucleotide ribosomal RNA is filed under the name uncultured Vibrio sp. RNAcentral describes it as "partial 16S ribosomal RNA". It matches the Rfam family "Bacterial small subunit ribosomal RNA", at positions 246 to 507 of the family's 1533-position model. Lineage: Bacteria; Pseudomonadati; Pseudomonadota; Gammaproteobacteria; Vibrionales; Vibrionaceae. The record is from RNAcentral.
UAGGUUGGUGAGGUAAGGGCUCACCAAGGCAACGAUCCCUAGCUGGUCUGAGAGGAUGAUCAGCCACACUGGAACUGAGACACGGUCCAGACUCCUACGGGAGGCAGCAGUGGGGAAUAUUGCACAAUGGGCGCAAGCCUGAUGCAGCCAUGCCGCGUGUAUGAAGAAGGCCUUCGGGUUGUAAAGUACUUUCAGCAGUGAGGAAGGUUCAUGCGUUAAUAGCGUAUGGAUUUGACGUUAGCUGCAGAAGAAGCACCGGCUAACUCCGUG